CUGCUGCCUUCCGUAGGAGUUUGGGCCGUGUCUCAGUCCCAAUGUGGCCGUCCACCCUCUCAGGCCGGCUACUGAUCGCUGCCUUGGUGGGCCGUUACCCCGCCAACUAGCUAAUCAGACGCGGAUCCAUCGUAUACCACCGGAAUUUUUCACACUGCCCCAUGCGGAGCCGUGCGCUUAUGCGGUAUUAGCACCUAUUUCUAAGUGUUAUCCCCCGGUAUACGGCAGGUUAUCCGCGCGUUACUCACCCGUCCGCCAA
RNAcentral lists this ribosomal RNA (259 nucleotides) under uncultured bacterium. Its description in RNAcentral is "partial 16S ribosomal RNA". The record is from RNAcentral.